This is a long non-coding RNA of Varroa destructor (honeybee mite), 466 nucleotides long. NCBI's taxonomy places the organism in Eukaryota, Metazoa, Arthropoda, Arachnida, Mesostigmata, Varroidae. The record is from RefSeq and is a predicted model, not a curated record.
UACUACUACGGCCGGAGUUGCUGCUAAGGGCUGUAGCACGCUCUACCUACCCGUUAUUUUGGGACAACUCCGCUAUUUUCUGUUCUUCCUUUUUGGUUCGGCAUUCUUGCCUCACACUUCGGAGUUCUUGAACCUUCGUGAACAAUAGGCGAAGGGAAUGGCUCCAAGUUCCUCUUCUUCAUUCUACUAUUCGUCUGGUUCAAAAAACUCAAAAACGCUACGAGUAGCAGUAGCCUGGGCACUUUUGCAUCAAGCGGGCCGAUUGACCGGUUUCUGCUACACAGUUCACUUCGUGGAUUUCCGAUAUAACGAGGGGAUUAAUUGGUCGUCAGCAGCUAUAAAGAAGUACUGGAUGUCGGCAAUAUUGAUACGAUACGACUAUUGAAUGAAGCUGUGCGCAAGUACGUCGAUGUCUCUCCGAAAGCCAAGAAGGAACCGUAGGGUCUGGCAGAACCUAGCUAGAAAG